UUUGUCACACUAUCAUUAACUGAAUCCAUAGGUUAAUGAGGCGAACCGGGGGAACUGAAACAUCUAAGUACCCCGAGGAAAAGAAAUCAACCGAGAUUCCCCCAGUAGCGGCGAGCGAACGGGGAGCAGCCCAGAGCCUGAAUCAGUGUGUGUGUUAGUGGAAGCGUCUGGAAAGGCGCGCGAUACAGGGUGACAGCCCCGUACACAAAAAUGCACAUACUGUGAGCUCGAUGAGUAGGGCGGGACACGUGGUAUCCUGUCUGAAUAUGGGGGGACCAUCCUCCAAGGCUAAAUACUCCUGACUGACCGAUAGUGAACCAGUACCGUGAGGGAAAGGCGAAAAGAACCCCGGCGAGGGGAGUGAAAAAGAACCUGAAACCGUGUACGUACAAGCAGUGGGAGCCUCUUUAUGGGGUGACUGCGUACCUUUUGUAUAAUGGGUCAGCGACUUAUAUUCUGUAGCAAGGUUAACCGAAUAGGGGAGCCGAAGGGAAACCGAGUCUUAACUGGGCGUUAAGUUGCAGGGUAUAGACCCGAAACCCGGUGAUCUAGCCAUGGGCAGGUUGAAGGUUGGGUAACACUAACUGGAGGACCGAACCGACUAAUGUUGAAAAAUUAGCGGAUGACUUGUGGCUGGGGGUGAAAGGCCAAUCAAACCGGGAGAUAGCUGGUUCUCCCCGAAAGCUAUUUAGGUAGCGCCUCGUGAACUCAUCUCCGGGGGUAGAGCACUGUUUCGGCAAGGGGGUCAUCCCGACUUACCAACCCGAUGCAAACUGCGAAUACCGGAGAAUGUUAUCACGGGAGACACACGGCGGGUGCUAACGUCCGUCGUGAAGAGGGAAACAACCCAGACCGCCAGCUAAGGUCCCAAAGUCAUGGUUAAGUGGGAAACGAUGUGGGAAGGCCCAGACAGCCAGGAUGUUGGCUUAGAAGCAGCCAUCAUUUAAAGAAAGCGUAAUAGCUCACUGGUCGAGUCGGCCUGCGCGGAAGAUGUAACGGGGCUAAACCAUGCACCGAAGCUGCGGCAGCGACACUAUGUGUUGUUGGGUAGGGGAGCGUUCUGUAAGCCUGCGAAGGUGUGCUGUGAGGCAUGCUGGAGGUAUCAGAAGUGCGAAUGCUGACAUAAGUAACGAUAAAGCGGGUGAAAAGCCCGCUCGCCGGAAGACCAAGGGUUCCUGUCCAACGUUAAUCGGGGCAGGGUGAGUCGACCCCUAAGGCGAGGCCGAAAGGCGUAGUCGAUGGGAAACAGGUUAAUAUUCCUGUACUUGGUGUUACUGCGAAGGGGGGACGGAGAAGGCUAUGUUGGCCGGGCGACGGUUGUCCCGGUUUAAGCGUGUAGGCUGGUUUUCCAGGCAAAUCCGGAAAAUCAAGGCUGAGGCGUGAUGACGAGGCACUACGGUGCUGAAGCAACAAAUGCCCUGCUUCCAGGAA
RNAcentral lists this ribosomal RNA (1431 nucleotides) under Escherichia coli. RNAcentral's name for it is "partial 23S ribosomal RNA". It matches the Rfam family "Bacterial large subunit ribosomal RNA", at positions 139 to 1614 of the family's 2925-position model. Lineage: Bacteria; Pseudomonadati; Pseudomonadota; Gammaproteobacteria; Enterobacterales; Enterobacteriaceae. The record is from RNAcentral.